CAGGAAACCAGCUGGUCACCCAGAGCUGGAUGGGUCUAUUGUAACGCAAGCUCGGCCUGCCACUUCAUCUUGGGACCCAGUUGAAGCAGAACUCAUCACACAGAGAGCCAUGAGGACAUCCAUUACCCGCAUGGCACAGCGGAUGGACACAUUUGAGGAAAAGAUGGAUGAGCUGCUCAUGCUCUUAAGGAGCUCCCAGUCACCUCCCUCUGCUCCAG
Perca fluviatilis (European perch) is the source of this 218-nucleotide long non-coding RNA. RefSeq lists it as uncharacterized. The transcript is spliced from 3 exons. The record is from RefSeq and is a predicted model, not a curated record. NCBI's taxonomy places the organism in Eukaryota, Metazoa, Chordata, Actinopteri, Perciformes, Percidae.